ACGAAAGCUAGGGGAGCGAAAGGGAUUAGAUACCCCUGUAGUCCUAGCUGUAAACGAUGGACACUAGGUGUUGGCCGUAUCGACCCGGUCAGUAUCGAAGCAAACGCGUUAAGUGUCCCGCCUGGGGAGUACGCACGCAAGUGUGAAACUCAAAGGAAUUGACGGGGGCCCGCACAAGCGGUGGAGUAUGUGGUUUAAUUCGAUGCAACGCGAAGAACCUUACCAGGGAUUGACAUCCUACGAACUUUCGUGAAAGCGAUUGGUGCCUUCGGGAACGUAGAGACAGGUGGUGCAUGGCUGUCGUCAGCUCGUGUCGUGAGAUGUUGGGUUAAGUCCCGCAACGAGCGCAACCCUCGUCCUUAGUUGCCAUCAUUAAGUUGGGCACUUUAAGGAGACUGCCGGUGACAAACCGGAGGAAGGUGGGGAUGACGUCAAGUCAUCAUGCCCCUUACAUCCUGGGCUACACACGUACUACAAUGCAACGGACAAAGGGCAGCCAACUAGCGAUAGUGCGCAAAUCCCAUAAACCGUUGCUCAGUUCAGAUUGCAGGCUGCAACUCGCCUGCAUGAAGGCGGAAUCGCUAGUAAUCGCAGGUCAGCAUACUGCGGUGAAUACGUUCCCGGGCCUUGUACACACCGCCCGUCACACCAUGGAAGUUGGCCACGCCCGAAGUCGUUACCCCAACCGUUUACGGAGGGGGACGCCGAAGGCAGGGCUGAUGAUUGGGGUGAAGUCGUAACAAGGUAACC
RNAcentral lists this ribosomal RNA (750 nucleotides) under uncultured bacterium. Its description in RNAcentral is "bacterial SSU rRNA". It matches the Rfam family "Bacterial small subunit ribosomal RNA", at positions 753 to 1501 of the family's 1533-position model. The record is from RNAcentral.